CUGCCUUUUAACUCAACAUUCGCGGGAAGCGAUGAGUAUACCUAUACUGCAAUAUGCUGACAAGUUCUCAUGUUAAAUUGUUCUCUCUUUAUUCUUUACUGUGUAAUAUGUCAUUACGUUUGCAUUGAAUUUCAGCAUAAUUGACUCUAAAACUUAGUUAAGUUAUAUGCCUUAACUCAUUUCUUUUUUACUAGAAUUGUCUGAAUAAUAUAUGCUUAAGGAGUAGAUACUAUGAAAAUGUGGCAAUGCAUAAUUGUACACGCCUGAUAUGAAGUGCAUAGUGCGACAUGGACCCUUUCAGUUGUGCCUAUUAGCCUGGUUUUCCGUGAUCGCUCACGAUCACCAUGUGUCACUUAGUACAGAUUCUGAUUUUAAUUGCGGGUGAAAUUCUAAACCCAGUACUCCUGUACUUGGAUUGAUGUCAAUAAAAUGGUAGAUUAACAUCAUUACACCUAGUACAUGCAGCAUUAUAAGUGCAAUUACCGCCUAUCUGACUAUGAGCGAUUAAACUAACUUAAAACCGCGUAACAAUAUACUACCAAUCCCAACUUACUUAUUAGAAGGCAUGAGCGUACGCGCUUGUAUCACCAAAAAGUUUAUUAAACAUAGUAUUUUUCUUUAGCUUACUUUAUGUUCCUUCCUUGGAUAAAUUCUAAUCUAUGACUUUAAAACGACAAAAAACGUUGCAGCUGCAUGCACCAUGUCGCAGGUACACGUUCCCAAAUAUUAGCUUUCACACGUGCAUAUGCUCUGAC
This is a non-coding RNA of Pelobates cultripes (western spadefoot toad), 755 nucleotides long. Lineage: Eukaryota; Metazoa; Chordata; Amphibia; Anura; Pelobatidae. The record is from the annotation of a GenBank genome assembly.